This 567-nucleotide ribosomal RNA is filed under the name uncultured bacterium. Its description in RNAcentral is "bacterial SSU rRNA". It matches the Rfam family "Bacterial small subunit ribosomal RNA", at positions 336 to 916 of the family's 1533-position model. The record is from RNAcentral.
CUCCUACGGGAGGCAGCAGCAGGGAAUAUUGCACAAUGGGCGAAAGCCUGAUGCAGCAACGCCGCGUGAGGGAUGAAGGCCUUCGGGUUGUAAACCUCUUUCAGGAGGGAAGAAAUUGACGGUACCUCCAAAAGAAGCCCCGGCUAACUACGUGCCAGCAGCCGCGGUAAUACGUAGGGGGCGAGCGUUGUCCGGAUUUAUUGGGCGUAAAGGGCUCGUAGGCGGUUCAGUAAGUCGGCUGUGAAAGUCCGGGGCUCAACCCCGGAAAUGCAGUCGAUACUGCUGUGACUAGAAUCAGGUAGAGGAGAAUGGAAUUCCCGGUGUAGCGGUGGAAUGCGCAGAUAUCGGGAGGAACACCAGUAGCGAAGGCGGUUCUCUGGGCCUGUAUUGACGCUGAGGAGCGAAAGCGUGGGGAGCAAACAGGAUUAGAUACCCUGGUAGUCCACGCCGUAAACGUUGGGUACUAGGUGUGGCGAUCCGUCUAACGAUUGCCGUGCCGAAGCUAACGCAUUAAGUACCCCGCCUGGGGAGUACGGCCGCAAGGCUAAAACUCAAAGGAAUUGACGG